Acanthosepion pharaonis is the source of this 90-nucleotide non-coding RNA. NCBI's taxonomy places the organism in Eukaryota, Metazoa, Mollusca, Cephalopoda, Sepiida, Sepiidae. The record is from the annotation of a GenBank genome assembly.
ACUGAUUCUCGUACAAUCACUGAAGUUAAGCAUCAUUGAGCCUGGGCAGUACAUAGGUGGGUGAUCACUUGGGAAUACCAGGUGCUGUAA